Molecule: long non-coding RNA, 509 nt
Organism: Galeopterus variegatus (Sunda flying lemur)
Lineage: Eukaryota; Metazoa; Chordata; Mammalia; Dermoptera; Cynocephalidae
Exons: 2
Source: RefSeq, a predicted model, not a curated record
CCUGUGUCUCGCGCCCCGGCGCCUCCCGGGCUCUUCCCGCGUCAUCUCGGGGAGCGCUCGGCGCAUGGAGGAGCUCCCGGAUUUUGAAAGAAGUGCUGCGAGAGCAGAGAUGCAGAAGUGACUCCAUCUGCCAUCUAUCCAGGAAACUAAGAGGUGACUGAACUAGAUAUUGAAGGAUGAGCACAUGUCUUGUUAGCUUAAGAAGAGGAAAACAACAUUGCUGGCAGAAAUAAGAGCAUAUGUACACCAUCUAAGGAUUCUAGAAGCUCUACACCUUUCUGUGGACCCGUUUUGUAUUCCUGAAACACUGAUGAUAUUGUGUCACUCCCUUUUUCCAAAAUUUAGCAUAGCUGUUACUAUCUGAGGAGUAAAGGUCAAAUUCUUCAGCCUGCCACACAAAACUGUAUAUUUUUUACGUGAUGAUGAAAAUACUUAUAAUUAAAACUAAUCCCUGGAGUCUCUUCCGAUCCCUCAAAAUAUAAUAAAUGAGAAAUGACUUUUUAAAAAUU